Long non-coding RNA from Tympanuchus pallidicinctus (lesser prairie-chicken), 2465 nucleotides. RefSeq lists it as uncharacterized. The record is from RefSeq and is a predicted model, not a curated record. The transcript has 3 exons. NCBI's taxonomy places the organism in Eukaryota, Metazoa, Chordata, Aves, Galliformes, Phasianidae.
UCGCUGUUCCCUGCGGUCCCGCCAUCUUGGCCAUGGGGUGAGGGGAGGAGGGCUGUUUCAAAGCCUUGUGUUGACCAAGUGUGGUCUGAGGUGCUCGGGGAUGUAGUGCCUCUCGUGGUGUGGGUUGUGAGAGGGUUCUUCUGUAGUUGGGCACCUGUGGGGAAGUGGCAAAAACAAAAACAAGCUUUAAGGGGAUGUUUAACCUUUUGCUUCCAGCUAAGAGCUGGAAGAUAUGCUUUCUACAACCAGGAAGCAAUUUCUACUGUUGAGCAGGUGAGCUCAUUUCUUCCCAAACUCACAAGCAGUGCUGAAGAGACAUCCCAGUGAUGUGCCCACAGCACUCCCCUAGCAGCAGUGCAAACUUGAGACUUGCCCACCAGCUUCUGCAGCCUAGACCAGGACUGACGAACUGCAUCUAAAGAUCAUCUGGAGAGCAUGUGAUGAAAAACGUUUUAGACUUCUGUAGAAAUGGUCAGUAGAGGAAAAGUCUCAAUCCACUGUGUUUUAUUUUCCCAACCCAUCUCUUUUCUCAGAAAUAGAGCCAUAUGUUAUGUGUAAUUAUUAUAAUCAGAGAUCAGUCAGUCUGUCGUAAUACUUAUAUGACAAAUCAGCAUUAGAGUAAGAUGAAUAUGCACUAAUAUGCUUUUCAGCUUAGAGCAUUAUUAGGAAGUUUGGUAGCUGUUAUGGUGGGUGAUUUUUGUGUGUGUGAUGUGAUAUGAACUAUAAAAUUGGGUGUCCCACAGUACUUCUGUGAAGAGUGGUUAAAUGUUAGAUCUUCAGCAAAGGUCUUUUUUUAGUUCCUUCUGAAACGAAUUUUCCUUUUCACAUUUUUAUUUCUAUAAUAGAAUAAACAUUUAUUUCCAUUAAAAAAAAAACAAAAAAACUGUGAAAUUGGUUGAAUAUACCAUGUUGGGAUAGGAGCACUGUGAACAGGUAAAGGCUGUAAUUACAUGAAAAGCAUCUGCUCAGUCCAUCAGGAAGUUACUGGUUUUUGGAGGACUACAUUUUGUUUCAGUCCACAGGUAAAACUUUUGUCAUGUCAGAAUGUUCGCUGUUCCUCAAGGUAAUGUUCUCCACUCAUAAAAAUGGGAGUGCCAUUGUGAUUCUUAAUCAUGUUUUAUGUUGGGACACAGUAAAUAAGGAAUGUGAUUAACAUUUUAUAAGCGACUUUUUAGGGCAGGCAUAAACAUUUAAUCUGUAUUUCAUUUUUCAGCUGUUGGUUGUAUAACACUUUAGAAACAUUCUUGUUUGGGGUGGGGGGUGAAUAUGUAUGGAAGAGGUUUCACUGUAGCUGUUUUAAUCUACUUGAAAGGACAGAGCUGAUAGAUGGCUUUAAAAUUAGAUACCUGAAGUGUUUCGUACAUAAAUGCUUCUGAUUUCUGGUAGAAAGGUCAGUGUUGAUGUGUGAUGCUGGAGUGAAGAACUUGGGAAUAAUAAAUUCAGGGGAACUUAACAGCAGUUUAUAAGAGUUAGUGCUGGUUUUUAAAAACUGAAGCAGAACAGAAAAAUACCUUCAGUGACUGCAUCUCCUGGCAUUAAGGAAGAGAAGGCAGUGUGUGUUUAGGAUCACUAGAGGGAGCCUAGAGGAAGAAGAGGGGGAAGCAUUGAAGACAUAUUUGCAUUUUUAGGAGCAGCUUGCACAGAACCAUCCAUUUAAUCCUUACUGCUUCCUUCAUCUACAACACAUCUGCAGGUCACUACUCUCUGUUCUCACACAUUCAGUUCAGAGAUCUCAGUUUUCUAGCUCUGAGAGAGGCCAGAAGCUUGGCUGCCUUUUAGGUGGGUGUAGGAAAAAAGACCUACCUCUCCAUGUAUCGUACCCCUUUUUACCUUCUUUUGUGUUUGAGUGAGUAGGCAUGUGUUGUUUUUCAGUGCAGGUAUGUGCAUGCUGGAGAUAUACUGUAAAUGAUGGAGAGCUUUAGUGGCAUCAGUGUAGAAUGGUCACAUUAUGGGGGUUUGGGGGAAAAUGAGCAUCUGCAGGCUUGUAUUGGAAUACCAAAGCACAAAGUUACUGUAAAAUCUCUCAUUCUGUGGGAUUUUAGAAAUGUCACUCAACACACUUUUUGUAUUGUUCUGUUGUAAAGCUGAGUGCUUCGAAGUGUGAUGUUUCCAUAGGGCAGAUAAACAAUGAAAGUAAUUUGUUUUAGCUCCCCUCACUCCACACCUGAUAAACUGCCAUAAUUUUGAUUUCCUGGGCUCUGUAAGAGAAGGAAGAAAUCCUGUUGGGUGGGUUCCUUUAGUUUUGGGGGUUUUAAUCUUUUUAGUAUUUUAGGGAUUCUCUUUUCAAAUAAUUUCUGGGCUGACAGUAUCAUGAGAUUUUAGUACUAAGCAUUGUUAUUCCUGUCAAUACAGAACUUCCAUUAUUGAUACCCUUACUGAUUGCAGAAUGCUUUUCAUGAGCAUUAAGAUAUUUGCAAUGUGGCUUUUGAGAGCUUGAUUUCACAUCUGAAGUGUGUAACUGACAA